CCUACGGGAGGCAGCAGUGAGGAAUAUUGGUCAAUGGCCGAGAGGCUGAACCAGCCAAGUCGCGUGAGGGAAGACGGCCCUACGGGUUGUAAACCUCUUUUGUCGGGGAGUAAAGCGAACCACGUGUGGUUCAUUGAGAGUACCCGAAGAAAAAGCAUCGGCUAACUCCGUGCCAGCAGCCGCGGUAAUACGGAGGAUGCGAGCGUUAUCCGGAUUUAUUGGGUUUACAGGGUGCGCAGGCGGAGGUGCAAGUCAGCGGUAAAAUUGCGGGGCUCAACCCCGUAUUGCCGUUGAAACUGCAUCCCUUGAGUGCGCGAGAGGUAUGCGGAAUGCGUGGUGUAGCGGUGAAAUGCAGAGAUAUCACGCAGAACUCCGAUUGCGAAGGCAGCAUACCGGCGCGUAACUGACGCUCAUGCACGAAAGCGUGGGUAUCGAACAGGAUUAGAUACCCUAGUAGUC
This 459-nucleotide ribosomal RNA is filed under the name uncultured bacterium. RNAcentral describes it as "partial 16S ribosomal RNA". It matches the Rfam family "Bacterial small subunit ribosomal RNA", at positions 338 to 795 of the family's 1533-position model. The record is from RNAcentral.